Molecule: ribosomal RNA, 531 nt
Filed under: Kodamaea ohmeri
Lineage: Eukaryota; Fungi; Ascomycota; Pichiomycetes; Serinales; Debaryomycetaceae
Description: partial large subunit ribosomal RNA
Rfam family: Eukaryotic large subunit ribosomal RNA
Source: RNAcentral
UUCAAAUAGCGGAGGAAAAGAAACCAACAGGGAUUGCCUCAGUAACGGCGAGUGAAGCGGCAAAAGCUCAAAUUUGAAAUCCCCCCGGGGAGUUGUAAUUUGAAGAUUGCGUCUUGGAGGCGACCGUGUCUAUGUUCCUUGGAACAGGACGUCACAGAGGGUGAGAAUCCCGUGCGGCACGGCCCCCGGCUCCUUAUAAGGCGCUCUCGACGAGUCGAGUUGUUUGGGAAUGCAGCUCAAAGUGGGUGGUAAAUUCCAUCUAAAGCUAAAUACAGGCGAGAGACCGAUAGCGAACAAGUACAGUGAUGGAAAGAUGAAAAGCACUUUGAAAAGAGAGUGAAACAGCACGUGAAAUUGUUGAAAGGGAAGGGCAUGCCGUCAGAUUGUCAGUGUGGGUAAGAAGCGGGGUACAAAGACUGUGGAACGUGGCCCUCGGGUGUUAUAGCCGCAGUUCAUGCCCCGUCUCUUUCCGAGGCCUGCUUUGAGGACACCGACGUAAUGACGGUACGCCGCCCGUCUUAAAAACCCGGG